CACCGCGGUUAUACGAGGGGCCCAAACCAAUACUCAACGGCGUAAAGUGUGAUUAGGGAAAAAAAGACUAAAGAGAAAGGUACCCCCAGCUGUUAUACGCUAACGGAAAAACUGAAGAACCACAACGAAAGUGACUUUACAACCCUUGAACUCACGACCAUUAAGAAA
Molecule: ribosomal RNA, 168 nt
Filed under: Muraenichthys sibogae (Siboga worm eel)
Lineage: Eukaryota; Metazoa; Chordata; Actinopteri; Anguilliformes; Ophichthidae
Description: partial 12S ribosomal RNA
Source: RNAcentral